GACGAACGCUGGCGGCGUGCUUAACACAUGCAAGUCGAACGGAAAGGCCCUUCUUUUGUGGGGUGCUCGAGUGGCGAACGUGUGAGUAACACGUGAGUAACCUGCCCUUGACUUUGGGAUAACUUCAGGAAGCUUGGGCUAACACCGUAUAGGAGUUCCUGCUGCAUGUUGGGGGUUGAAAAGUUUCGGCGGUUGGGGAUGGACUCGCGGCUUAUCAGCUUGUUGGUGGGGUAGCGGCUUACCAAGGCUUUGACGGGUAGCCGGCCUGAGAGGGUGAACGGCCAAAUUGGGACUGAGGUAAGGCCCAGACUCCUACGGGAGGCAGGAGUGGGGAAUAGUGGACAAUGGGCGGAAGACUGAGGUAGCAACGUCGUGUGCGGGAUGACGGCCUUCGGGUUGUAUAAAGCUUUCGCCUGUGACGAAGCGUGAGUGACGGUAAUGGGUAAAGAAGCACCGGCUAACUACGUG
This 468-nucleotide ribosomal RNA is filed under the name uncultured bacterium. RNAcentral's name for it is "partial 16S ribosomal RNA". It matches the Rfam family "Bacterial small subunit ribosomal RNA", at positions 28 to 507 of the family's 1533-position model. The record is from RNAcentral.